CCCUACUAGUGUUGCCUGGGGGUGCUUUUAUGUGUGCACCCUGGAAGAUAGGUCCAGAAGCCUUGCGAUUUCUUAGAUUAAAGCUAAGUGUACUCGUGACCCUACCAGCACUUUUCAAGAUACUUUCGACGUAUUCAUUGCGGUGAACAACGCGGUUGGGACAGCACACUCACGACGUGGGAAGGUCACAGAAAUGUUGAAAGACAUCAGAUGUGUGGAAACGUCGUAGCGGAUGAAUGUGAAUUAUGGAUCUCCAAGUGGCGUCGCCCGCGUCAUUUUCAAGAUUUUACCCGUUUUGAAGGCAAUAGGGCUGUUGAUA
This is a long non-coding RNA of Ornithodoros turicata, 319 nucleotides long. RefSeq lists it as uncharacterized. The record is from RefSeq and is a predicted model, not a curated record. Lineage: Eukaryota; Metazoa; Arthropoda; Arachnida; Ixodida; Argasidae. The transcript has 5 exons.